This 512-nucleotide ribosomal RNA is filed under the name bacterium enrichment culture clone ALO1_GLFRUDD03HBFCO. RNAcentral describes it as "bacterial SSU rRNA". It matches the Rfam family "Bacterial small subunit ribosomal RNA", at positions 9 to 520 of the family's 1533-position model. The record is from RNAcentral.
GAGUUUGAUCGUGGCUCAGGACGAACGCUGGCGGCGUGCCUAACACAUGCAAGUCGAACGAAGCUCGGACCUUGGAGAUUCGUCGAAGAGGGAAGAUGACUUAGUGGCGGACGGGUGAGUAAUACAUGAGCAACCUGCCCUGGAGUGGGGGACAACAGCUGGAAACGGCUGCUAAUACCGCAUGAAGUGUUUGGGAGACAUCUUCCGAACACCAAAGAUUUUAUCGCUCUAGGAUGGGCUCAUGUCUGAUUAGCUAGUUGGUGAGGUAACGGCUCACCAAGGCUGCGAUCAGUAGCCGGACUGAGAGGUUGAACGGCCACAUUGGGACUGAGAUACGGCCCAGACUCCUACGGGAGGCAGCAGUGGGGAAUAUUGGGCAAUGGGCGCAAGCCUGACCCAGCAACGCCGCGUGAAGGAAGAAGGCUUUCGGGUGUAAACUUCUUUAUGAGGGACGAAGGACGUGACGGUACCUCAUGAAUAAGCCACGGCUAACUACGUGACAGCCGCCGCAA